UGAUAAAAAUAUAAAAAAUUCCACUCAACGUCAGUUUUGGAGUUAUGCCUUUAAAGCAAUGUAGUCAUUCUACCAUGUUAUCAAAAUGUUGAAAGAUUAAAAAACCCCUGGACCUUAUUUCAAAAAAAUUUCUUUAAGGGUAUUUAAAUCAUUUUAUUGUGCAUCUAAAAUGUUAAAAGACUGAUUUGUUCUCAAUCAAUAUGAUAAUGACAUGGAUCAUAUGAAAAAGAUUGUAUUAUCCCUAAUAACUAAUUAACUGAUUUUGUUUAAGAAUGGUAUAAUGAUCAUUUCAUUGUUCCAAUACAUAAUAACAUGUGUCUUAGUGUAAUACAAAUGACUAAUGG
This 344-nucleotide long non-coding RNA is filed under the name Populus tremula. RNAcentral describes it as "long non-coding RNA (PTRE_LNC002265)". The record is from RNAcentral. Lineage: Eukaryota; Viridiplantae; Streptophyta; Magnoliopsida; Malpighiales; Salicaceae.